UUGAGAGUCGUUCUGUAUUGGAACAAGCUCAUGAGAUGAUAUGCAUAGCUAAAGCACUUGAGGUUCUUAAGUGUGAUUUACCAUGUUAUGGACCAGUUCCAUGAUUACAAAAUGGUUGAGAUCCAUUCUCUAUUGGAACUCAUGAGAUAAUAUGCAUUGCUAAAGAACUUGAGGUUCUUAAGUGUGAUUUACUGGGCAAAUUUGUCAUGGGGUGUAUAAUCGCUAAGCUCCGUAAUUCCUGGAGGAAAUUUGCUAACACUUUAAAACAUCAUAGGCGUGAAUUCUCAAUAGAGGAUAUCAUCGGCAAUCUGAGUGUUGAGCAGAACUCGAGAGCAAAGGUCUCGCAUGGAAAAGCAGUCGAAGGUCCUUCUGUUGCCAAUAUGAUACAUCAGAGGAACUUCAAUUCCCACAAGUCCAAGGGGAAGAAUUAUGUCCAACAGAAUACCGACUUUAAGAAGAAGGGAAAGAAGACCUUCAAGAUGAACAAGAAGGGAGAUCUUCAAGAUGGACAAGAAGGGAGAUGGCUGCUUCAAUUGUGGUUCCGAGGAACAUUGGGCCACUAAGUGCCCAAAUAAGUACAAGAAGCGAGGGCAAGACUCCAAGUCUGCCAAUAUGAUUGUGAACAACAAUGAAAGUGGUGCAUCUGGUAAUGGUCACAGGCCGAGGGUCCGUAUUGAUGGGGAAUGGCGCGAGUGCUUCUUUUCUUGGUGUUGGCACGGUUCAUCUAAAGUUUACUUCAAGAGGGAUCGUGCAACUGAAGAACGUGCAUCAUGUCUCCGCCAUCAAGAAGUACCUCAUUAAUGGCUCCCUUCUAUGUAGAGAAGGGUUUUAGUUGGUCUUUGAGUCUAAUAAAGUAGUUGUUACGAAAUAUGAAAUUUUUGUUGUAAAAGGUUAUGAAUGCGGACAUCUGUUCUGCCUUUCCUUUGUAGUUUUUUUUGUAAUAAAGUCGUGAAUAAUACUCAUUCGAGUGUCAAUGAAUCUGAAAUUUGGCAUUCA
Molecule: long non-coding RNA, 996 nt
Organism: Hordeum vulgare subsp. vulgare (domesticated barley)
Lineage: Eukaryota; Viridiplantae; Streptophyta; Magnoliopsida; Poales; Poaceae
Exons: 2
Source: RefSeq, a predicted model, not a curated record